UUUUUAUAGAAAUUAUUAUAAAUAUAACCUGCACAAUGCUAAUGUAAAUUGCCGCAGAAUUUAACUGUGCUAAGGUAGCAUAAUCAUUAUCCUUUUAAUUAAAGGCUAGAAUGAAUGGUUUAACAUUUAAAUAUCUUUUUUUUAAUAAUUAUUAGAAAUUAUAUUAAUAAUAAAAAUAUUAUUUUAAAUUAAAAAGACGACAAGACCCUAUCAAACUUUACUAUAGUUUAGCUGGGGUAGCUAUUUAAUCUUAAUUUUAAUAAUAAAUUAUAUAAAAAAUGACCUAAUAAAAUUAAAUAUUUGAUUAAGUUACUGUAGGGAUAACAGCAUAAUAUUUUUUUAAAGCUCAUAUUAAAAAAAAAAAUUAUGACCUCGAUGUUGAAUUAAUUACCUAUAAAGUGCAAGAACUUUAUCAGGAGGUCUGUUCGACCUUUAAAUUAUUACA
RNAcentral lists this ribosomal RNA (445 nucleotides) under Malkaridae sp. LB-2014l. Its description in RNAcentral is "partial 16S ribosomal RNA". The record is from RNAcentral. Lineage: Eukaryota; Metazoa; Arthropoda; Arachnida; Araneae; Malkaridae.